CACAUUUUGGUUAACUGUUGUACUAUUUGCCUCAGGACCUUCAACUUCCAUUGGGAGGCUGGGAGAGGAUGUAGAAUGGGGAUACUCUAGACCAGAAACAUUAGUGUCUCUAGUUCUGACGCAAGCAUUAAUAACACUCCUGACAUCAUCUUGUUCCAAUUGUUCACAUGGAACAUUUUGAAGAGGCAACUUAUUAUCGUUGCUCUGCUGUGCCAUUUGCUCCACGGAAGAGAUCUUCAGAAUUUUACAUGGUUCUGCAAGAUCUAGAGAUUGGUUGACUGCUGUAUUAUUUGCCUCAGGGCCUUCAACUUCCAUUGGAAGGCUGUGAGAGGAUGUAGAAUGGGGAUACUCUAGACCAGAACCAUUUGUGUCUCUAGUUCCGACGCAAGCAUUAAUAACACUCCUGACAUCAUCUUGUUCCAAUUGUUCACAUGGAACAUUUUGAAAAGGCAACUUAUUAUCGUUGCUCUGCUGUGCCACAUGCUCCACGGAAGAGAUCUUCAGAAUUUUAUAUGGUUCUGCAAGAUCUAGAGAUUGUGUAUCAGCAUCACC
Molecule: long non-coding RNA, 552 nt
Filed under: Manihot esculenta (cassava)
Lineage: Eukaryota; Viridiplantae; Streptophyta; Magnoliopsida; Malpighiales; Euphorbiaceae
Description: long non-coding RNA (MESC_LNC006853)
Source: RNAcentral